RNAcentral lists this ribosomal RNA (397 nucleotides) under uncultured bacterium. RNAcentral's name for it is "partial 16S ribosomal RNA". It matches the Rfam family "Bacterial small subunit ribosomal RNA", at positions 523 to 918 of the family's 1533-position model. The record is from RNAcentral.
AUACGUAGGGGGCGAGCGUUGUCCGGAAUGAUUGGGCGUAAAGGGCGCGUAGGCGGCCUGUUAAGUCUGGAGUGAAAGUCCUGUUUUCAAGAUGGGAAUUGCUUUGGAUACUGAUGGGCUUGAGUGCAGGAGAGGUUAUCGGAAUUCCCGGUGUAGCGGUGAAAUGCGUAGAGAUCGGGAGGAACACCAGUGGCGAAGGCGGGUAACUGGACUGCAACUGACGCUGGGGCGCGAAAGUGUGGGGAGCAAACAGGAUUAGAUACCCUGGUAGUCCACGCGGUAAACGAUGAAUGCUAGGUGUUGCGGGUAUCGACCCCUGCAGUGCCGGAGUAAACACAAUAAGCAUUCCGCCUGGGGAGUACGGCCGCAAGGUUGAAACUCAAAUGAAUUGACGGGG